AUGGGAGGCAGUGGCAGGAGGCCCGGUGUGUGUGUGUGUGUGUGGGGGGGGGGGGGGCAGACCUCUCUUCUCUACAUACCCACGGAGAUGCGUGGAGUUCGGGGGAAUCAUCAGCACCAGGUCACAGGCCCUGAAGGGGGUCACCGCACUGAGUUGACAGAAAAAGCAAGUGAGGCUCAAAGAAGAGAGACGGGGGAAGGAGGAAGGCCUGUCCUUUGGGGUCCCUGGAGUCCUCUGGGAACAGGAUUUCAGGGAGGAGGUAGGAUCAGCUGGUUAGACCCUCCAGGCAACUCUCACAGAAGAGAGGACUUAAUACGGGCCGGGCCGGGCCGCCGGGCCCUACUCCACUUUUCCCUCCCUGCGGCAGUUCUGCGGGCACGUGUCACCCCGUCAGCAAAGGCCUCCCUGGAGGUGGUGACGCAGGACGGGGAAGCCUGCCUUGCGGUGCGGGCCAGAGUCGCCCCGAAAGAGGGCCCAAGAGGGCCCGGCGUUGCUGUACCUUCCCGCAUGCAUCGCGGUCCCUCGGCGCCCCUGGCUUUGACGGUUGGAACUGACAGAGCCGGAGAGGGCGCGCUCUGGCCCAGGGGUUUGCUCCAGAGGUCGGGCUGGGGCUGGGGCGCUGGAACCGUGCGGGAAGACGGGGGCCACCGUCUCCUCCAAGCGCCACCCCACAGCGGAGGCUGGGCCGCGCAGCCAAGCCGGUGCUUCAGGCAUGACCUCCCAGCAACCCUGUCACCCAGACCGGGCCCCCGUCGCCCUCCACGAACGUCGCGGUCUCCCAGGCGACCCUCGGAAGGCCCCGAAGGCGUCGGAGCCCGUCACCGCCACGCAGCAGGGCGCCGGCGUGCGGGGCCGCCCGACCCUCGGGGCGGCGCGGCGGGGCGGGGCGGGGCGGGGAGGGCGAGGGCAGCGCCGGGGCACGGGCGGGUCCCGGUCCCUCCCGGCACCUCCCACCCUUCCCCCUGCGCACUGUCCGACUCGCCCUGGCCGUGCCGCGCUCCGCUGACGACACCCGCGCGGUCCCCUACGCGCCGACACGCCCUCGCCAGAUUCCGCGGGACCCGAGCCCCCGGAAGCGCAGCCGGUCGUCCCGAGCGCCGACUGCGUACGCGGCACCGCGCCGGGCGCGGCGGGCAGGGG
This 1140-nucleotide long non-coding RNA is filed under the name Canis lupus dingo (dingo). RNAcentral's name for it is "lncRNA (ENSCAFG00020001152.1)". Lineage: Eukaryota; Metazoa; Chordata; Mammalia; Carnivora; Canidae. The record is from RNAcentral.